AAAAUACUUCCUUGUCCAAAACUGGUGGAGGGAGAAACAAUUUGUUGAGAUUUCACCUAAAUAUCUGGAACGUACCGAUGCGGAAAUCAACUUUGUUAAAACAGCUCAAAGGGAGAUUCCCAAGGGCUUGUCUUUGUCCUCCUACCACUUUG
Molecule: non-coding RNA, 152 nt
Filed under: Paramoeba aestuarina
Lineage: Eukaryota; Discosea; Flabellinia; Dactylopodida; Paramoebidae
Source: RNAcentral